CUACGGGUCGCUGCAGUGGGGAAUAUUGCACAAUGGGCGCAAGCCUGAUGCAGCCAUGCCGCGUGUAUGAAGAAGGCCUUCGGGUUGUAAAGUACUUUCAGCGGGGAGGAAGGGAGUAAAGUUAAUACCUUUGCUCAUUGACGUUACCCGCAGAAGAAGCACCGGCUAAAUCCGUGCCAGUCAGCCGCGGUAAUACGGAGGGUGCAAGCGUUAAUCGGAAUUACUGGGCGUAAAGCGCACGCAGGCGGUUUGUUAAAUCAGAUGUGAAAUCCCCGGGCUCAACCUGGGAACUGCAUCUGAUAUUGGGAAGAUUGAGUCUCGUAGAGGGGGGUAGAAUUCCAGGGGUAGCGGUGAAAUGCGUAGAGAUCUGGAGGAAUAUCGGUGGCGAAGGCGGCCCCCUGGACGAAGACUGACGCUCAGGUGCGAAAGCGUGGGGAGCAAACAGGAUUAGAUACCCCAGUAGUC
Molecule: ribosomal RNA, 465 nt
Filed under: uncultured bacterium
Lineage: Bacteria
Description: partial 16S ribosomal RNA
Rfam family: Bacterial small subunit ribosomal RNA
Source: RNAcentral